UUUUCUCCUCUUCUAAAGGAGGUAUCACGAAAACUGGAGCGAGCGGCCAACAAGACAAAAACUUGGAAAGAUAAAGUGGCCAAACACGAAGGGCUGGUUCGUCUCAUCCAGCCAGGUCAUAAAGGAGCUCAGAGAAUCACUAACUGGGGCCCGGCCUCGUUCACCGACAUUGAGCUGGAGCUGAGGAAGAAGUCCUGGCAGGAGAAGAAGAACCAGGGAGCUCCGGCUGAAUGAAGGACGCUUCGAAUAAACCGGUGACCUCUUGACACAUCAUCAGUUAGUUGAAGCUCAGAAAAUAGUUUCUCAAGAUCCUAGAGACGAUUCAUCCAAUUGUAUAAAGCGGCCGCCUUCUCUGCUUUUAAUGCGAGAAAUUAAGAUUCCCAUUCAUUUCUUUUCAACUCAAAAAUAUUUAAUUCCAUCUGUUUCAGUGUUUAAGUCUUCAAUCUAAACUGGUUUUAACAUAAAUAACAUGAACUGAUAUGUAUUUUGUAAUAAACACCGUUCAGUUUUGUAUGCCGGUGGGAGUUGAUUUCUGUCUGAUCUCUGCUUUAAAUAACCAUUUUCAUAACAAAAGCCGACUUAAAUGUAACCACAUUUUUUCAGUUUUAUAUGAAAGCCUUUGUAACUUCUGCUUCAUCCACUAGGUGGCAGCACGAUAACGGGACAUUUUGAUUUGUAUUACCUGUGCAGGAGCAGAAGUCUGCUGCUGCUCUUAAAAAUACUCAAGGGAAUGUGUGAAACACAAACAAGUAUAAAAUCAUUGCUUUAAUA
This is a long non-coding RNA of Poecilia latipinna (sailfin molly), 771 nucleotides long. RefSeq lists it as uncharacterized. The record is from RefSeq and is a predicted model, not a curated record. The transcript is spliced from 2 exons. Lineage: Eukaryota; Metazoa; Chordata; Actinopteri; Cyprinodontiformes; Poeciliidae.